RNAcentral lists this ribosomal RNA (497 nucleotides) under uncultured bacterium. RNAcentral describes it as "partial 16S ribosomal RNA". It matches the Rfam family "Bacterial small subunit ribosomal RNA", at positions 28 to 507 of the family's 1533-position model. The record is from RNAcentral.
GAUGAACGCUGGCGGCGUGCCUAAUACAUGCAAGUCGAGCGAACGGACGAGAAGCUUGCGCUCCUGAGGGUAGCGGCGGACGGGUGAGUAACACGUGGAUAACCUACCUAUAAGACUGGGAUAACUACGGGAAACCGGAGCUAAUACCGGAUAAUAUUUUGAACCGCAUGGUUCAAAAGUGAAAGACGGCUUUGCCGUCACUUAUAGAUGGAUCCGCGCUGCAUUAGCUAGUUGGUAAGGUAACGGCUUACCAAGGCAACGAUGCAUAGCCGACCUGAGAGGGUGAUCAGCCACACUGGAACUGAGACACGGUCCAGACUCCUACGGGAGGCAGCAGUAGGGAAUCUUCGACAAUGGGCGCAAGCCUGACCGAGCAACGCCGCGUGAGUGAUGAAGGUCUUCGGAUCGUAAAGCUCUGUUAUUAGGGAAGAACAUCUGUGUAUGUAACUGUGCACAUCUUGACGGUACCUAAUCAGAAAGCCCCGGCUAACUACGUG